This 448-nucleotide ribosomal RNA is filed under the name uncultured bacterium. RNAcentral's name for it is "partial 16S ribosomal RNA". It matches the Rfam family "Bacterial small subunit ribosomal RNA", at positions 29 to 523 of the family's 1533-position model. The record is from RNAcentral.
AGCGAACGCUGGCGGCAGGCCUAACACAUGCAAGUCGAACGGACCCUUCGGGGUUAGUGGCGGACGGGUGAGUAACACGUGGGAACGUGCCUUUAGGUUCGGAAUAGCUCCUGGAAACGGGUGGUAAUGCCGAAUGUGCCCUUCGGGGGAAAGAUUUAUCGCCUUUAGAGCGGCCCGCGUCUGAUUAGCUAGUUGGUGAGGUAACGGCUCACCAAGGCGACGAUCAGUAGCUGGUCUGAGAGGAUGACCAGCCACACUGGGACUGAGACACGGCCCAGACUCCUACGGGAGGCAGCAGUGGGGAAUCUUGUGCAAUGGCGAAAGCCUGACGCAGCCAUGCCGCGUGAAUGAUGAAGGUCUUAGGAUUGUAAAAUUCUUUCACCGGGGACGAUAAUGACGGUACCCGGAGAAGAAGCCCCGGCUAACUUCGUGCCAGCCGCCGCCGUAA